Molecule: ribosomal RNA, 397 nt
Filed under: uncultured bacterium
Lineage: Bacteria
Description: bacterial SSU rRNA
Rfam family: Bacterial small subunit ribosomal RNA
Source: RNAcentral
GACGAACGCUGGCGGCGUGCUUAACACAUGCAAGUCGAGCGGUAAGGCCCUUUCGGGGGUACACGAGCGGCGAACGGGUGAGUAACACGUGGGUGACCUGCCUUCAGCUCUGGGAUAAGCCUGGGAAACCGGGUCUAAUACUGGAUAUGACUCCAUGACGCAUGUUGUGGGGUGGAAAGCCUUGUGCGGCUGAGGAUGGGCCCGCGGCCUAUCAGCUUGUUGGUGGGGUGAUGGCCUACCAAGGCGACGACGGGUAGCCGGCCUGAGAGGGCGACCGGCCACACUGGGACUGAGACACGGCCCAGACUCCUACGGGAGGCAGCAGUGGGGAAUCUUGCGCAAUGGGCGAAAGCCUGACGCAGCGACGCCGCGUGAGGGAUGACGGCCUCGGUGUAAC